This 72-nucleotide transfer RNA is filed under the name Camelus ferus (Wild Bactrian camel). It matches the Rfam family "tRNA". From Rfam's summary of the family: Transfer RNA (tRNA) molecules are approximately 80 nucleotides in length. The record is from Rfam by way of RNAcentral. Lineage: Eukaryota; Metazoa; Chordata; Mammalia; Artiodactyla; Camelidae.
GAGGAUAUAGCUCAAUUGGUAGAGUGCAUACUUAGCAUGCACGAGGUCCUGGGUUCAAUCCCCAGUGCCUCU